Peromyscus maniculatus bairdii (prairie deer mouse) is the source of this 493-nucleotide long non-coding RNA. RefSeq lists it as uncharacterized. The record is from RefSeq and is a predicted model, not a curated record. NCBI's taxonomy places the organism in Eukaryota, Metazoa, Chordata, Mammalia, Rodentia, Cricetidae.
UAAAGGACAGUCAGGGAGCCUCCUGCUCAUUACUGCCAGGGGUAGCAUUGGCUACAAAAAGCUGCACAUCAGGGGAAGCUAGCAUAACUACAGAUCAUCAGGAAGAUGGAACAACCUACACAAAGCAACAUUGUGGAAAAGACAGAGGCAGAAGAACCUGUUGCUAUUGCAGAAGAACCUGUUCAGCAUGAAAACAAAAGAGAUGAGAAGAGGGAGAAGAUAAUUAAGAGAGUGAAAGAAGUGCUCGCUCAGAGGCCAAACAAGGCCAAUAAACCAACUGUGAUCAUCAUUUGCUAUAGAGGCAAGAAGAAUCGAAACCCUGGGCAGCUGGAAAAAAAGGAAGAUACCCCGGACCAUUCUAGCAGUCCACAUAACAAUCAGUGAAUGGCAGCAAUUCCAGACCUCAGCAGCCCUGCACCAUCUCCAGCAGGCUGCAGAGCCCUAUAAGGAACACAUCUGGUCUGGCCAAUAAAGUAAGAACAACAUAUAGCAA